Molecule: ribosomal RNA, 165 nt
Filed under: Justicia fimbriata
Lineage: Eukaryota; Viridiplantae; Streptophyta; Magnoliopsida; Lamiales; Acanthaceae
Description: 5.8S ribosomal RNA
Rfam family: 5.8S ribosomal RNA (bases 1-79)
Source: RNAcentral
AAUCCCGUGAACCAUCGAGUCUUUGAACGCAAGUUGCGCCCGAAGCCUUCGGGCCGAGGGCACGCCUGCCUGGGCGUCACGCAUCGCGUCGCCCCUUCCCCCCGCGUCCCCGGAGCGGGGGGUCGGAGACUGGCCUCCCGUGCGCUCCUGCCGCGCGGCCGGCCC